This 454-nucleotide ribosomal RNA is filed under the name uncultured bacterium. RNAcentral's name for it is "partial 16S ribosomal RNA". It matches the Rfam family "Bacterial small subunit ribosomal RNA", at positions 28 to 507 of the family's 1533-position model. The record is from RNAcentral.
GAUGAACGCUGACAGAAUGCUUAACACAUGCAAGUCUACUUGAACUUCGGUUUGGGUGGCGGACGGGUGAGUAACGCGUAAAGAACUUGCCUCACAGAUAGGGACAACAUUUGGAAACGAAUGCUAAUACCUGAUAUUAUGAUUUUAGGGCAUCCUAGAAUUAUGAAAGCUAUAUGCACUGUGAGAGAGCUUUGCGUCCCAUUAGCUAGUUGGAGAGGUAACGGCUCACCAAGGCGAUGAUGGGUAGCCGGCCUGAGAGGGUGAUCGGCCACAAGGGGACUGAGACACGGCCCUUACUCCUACGGGAGGCAGCAGUGGGGAAUAUUGGACAAUGGACCAAGAGUCUGAUCCAGCAAUUCUGUGUGCACGAUGAGGUUUUUCGGAAUGUAAAGUGCUUUCAGUUGGGAAGAAAAAAAUGACGGUACCAACAGAAGAAGUGACGGCUAAAUACGUG